RNAcentral lists this long non-coding RNA (6049 nucleotides) under Sus scrofa (pig). RNAcentral's name for it is "lncRNA (ENSSSCG00030069833.1)". The record is from RNAcentral. Lineage: Eukaryota; Metazoa; Chordata; Mammalia; Artiodactyla; Suidae.
UUUUUUUUUUCCCACAAUUAAAAUAGCUUUCAACAGAAGGGCACUGCCAUGCAACACCUUCAAGGGUAUGACUUAUUAUUGUUCACUGGGUGAUUAGGAGACUAGGCUUAACCUGCCCGAGCAAUCAGGUGCCUCAAUUUCCUCUUUCCUACAGAAGUAAAAUUUUUAAAUCCUGGUCCCCUUCUCAUUCCUAUUUUCUACAGAUCAAUGAGACUGUUCAUUUCCUUCCUUCCUCCAUAUAAAAAAUGGUGCUGGACCCUGGCCUGUGUGCCAGGUAUCCUAGCCCCCUGCCCAAUAUAAACUUCAGACAGCAGGCCCCCUGCCCUCGUGUUGCUCAGUCUGCUAUCCAUGGCCAGAGGUCAUGAAAACAAGAAAUUCCUUACUGGAGUCACGACAUUCCUCAAAGAUGACAACCUGAUGAGUCUCAAGAAAGAACCAAGACUGUAGUUUCUAUUAAGUUAGGGCACAUCUCAGUAUGAUAAUAUUUUCCUCACCCCCAGCAACAUGGCAUGUAUGCAGGAGAGAACGAGACCCAGGGGAGUCAAAAGGCUGGAGUAACAGUCCAGACCCAGCUUCCUAUGUGACCCCUGAUUUUAUACCAACUAAUAAGAAUCCCACUGACAUACUGGAGAUUGAGAGCUAGGUAUAUUAUUACCUGACAACGUUAUUACAUUACUGAGCAGAAGAGAACUAGAGUGCCGUCUUACAAAAUAAUAAGAUAUGUUCAGACAAGUGAGAUAAACUGACACAUCUAAGUAGAGGGCACAAGAGUCACACCUAAGUCUGGGUUCAAACGACACAAGAAUUGGGACGACUCAAAGAGUGGUACACACUCAAAUUUUCCUCCAAACUCUAACACUGUUUAACACUCUAACACCAUGAGAGAGAAUGUCAUCUUCUCAUUUUAUAGAUCCCAAGGCCCAAAACUAAAGUGCCUUGCUUGGAACAGUGCAAAAGCAUUGAAUAACCACCUCCAAAUUUUCAGUCCAAACGAAGCUCACCAUGAUGCCCCAUUAGCUUCUCAAAAAGGUCCGCCUCUCCUUAUAAAUGGAGUUAAACAGACUUUUCUCAAAUGAGCCAUUGUAAAACACACAAAACAAAAUGAAAUGGUUUACACAACUUAAAGCAAAUGUAAGAGCUUGGGCCCUAGAUCUACACUGCUACAGGACUUCAGGGAGACGACUGAACAGCUCAGUGCCUCAGCUUCCUCAUCCGUAAAAUGGGAAUAAAAGGAAUAACCAGCUCAGAGUUGUGACAAGUAACAGUGCCUGGAACACAUUAAGUGCUCAGCAAAUAUUCAUUACAAUCGUCACUAUUAUAACCUCCCUCUAAAUUCAACUGUCUGGUACUUAGAGGAAUAAACAAGUUUCGCUAUUGCUAUAGACUACAGAAAACGUCUUUAUCAUGUAUUUACAACACAGUCGUUCCUCAAAAAAAAACAAUUUUUUUUAAACAAACAGUAAUUAAAAAGUUCCCUUUCUCAACUGGCCUAAUGUACCCACAUAAACCCAGGCUCCACGCACACCUCAAUUAAAGAACAGUCAAAGGCAGUGUCUGCUCUCUGCAGCCUUUCACACCUCAGCAGAAUGUGCAUAAACAGUCUUUUUGCUUCAGAGGGCUGUUCCGAGAAUAAAUGGUUGUAAAUGCCCUUUGUAAUCUUUUGACAAUGCUGCUAUAUAAGCACACAUUACUCUAGGCUUUAUAAAUUAAGUAUGUGGUUACACAUGACAAUACAAGAAAUGCCUCAAACAUCUUCCCCUUUCCUCAGCAUCCAAUUAAAUUACCAUUUCCCCUAAGAAUUCUGUUUUGUUCUCCCACAAAAAUGACAUCACCACCUAAGACGUUCAAUAUGUGCUAGACCCUGUCGUAAGCACUUCAUAACUCAUGUAAGCCUCACAACAACCCUGCGGUACUAUUUUUCCAUUUUACAGAUGAGGAAACUGAGGUCAAAGGAGAUGAGGCUGGCUAAUUCACAGGACACCAUCGCCUCCCAGAGUGAGAUUUCUGCUCACAACCACCCUCCCCCUGCUCUUAAUCCACAGGCUACCUCGGCCUCCAAAUGUCAAUUCUCUCUUCAAAACCACCACCCCUGCCCGACGGCAAGGUACCUGUGCCUAUUAACACCAGCGCUUUGACAUUUCAAUAAUGGUUACUAAAGCAUGUGGUUUAACUGCUCUGCUAACCCAGAGUCUCCAUGAGGACGGGGCCCCUUGAGCCCUCUGUAUUUACAUAACCCCAGUCCUUCUAAACCUAACACUGGCGCUCAAGAAAGUGAUGAAUGAAUUAAUUAAAGGAGUGUUAAACCAUUGAGGAUCUUAUCAUUCAAGGAGUUCCACUCUUUUUAUACUUCUUAUAUUGCAUUUUAAUAUGAACCUGCAUUUAGGGGUUAAUGUUUUGCUUUUGUUUUCUUUCUAAGCAAAACUAAUCUUAUUUUCUCUGCUCAGGCAAUACAUUUCAUUAAUUACUAAUUCAACAGACCAAAGAAAAACAGGCUAUUCAGCUGUCAGAUCACACAAGACCUUUUUAAUACUUCAGUCUUGUGGAAAUUUUUUAAGCAGAAUUUUUUUUAAAUCCCAUUUCUGUUUUAAUGACUUAAAAAAAGAAACUGCCCUUAUGGGGGGAAAAGAGCAUAUAAAAGGUAAUAAACAUUUAAUGAUCCAAUAAUUGGUUAUAUCAGAGCAAUCGCUGUUCAGUAAUUAACUUCUCUUUCGGCUUGUUCACUUGAUAUUUUGAGCACCCUUCAUGGGCCUGGAAUUAUCCAUAUUAUUUAUAUCAUAAACUAAAACCUUUUGGAGGAGCCCAAAACACAAGAUUUGCAAUCACCCAUAUUCACCUUGGUAACUUUACAAUGUGGCCUAAUUUUAAAAAGCCAACAUGAGUCGCAAAACCAAGAGCAUCCCAAGCCCUCGGCACAGCAUGGGUGCCAAAGCAGCAGAAAUGACACUACUACUAAGCCAUGGGGUCUGUGGACAUGGCAGCAAGGAGGGGUUAAAGGAAAACACAACCAAAAAAUUAGAGCUUAAAAGACAGCAAAAAAUAAUUAAAUCGCACCACCAGGAAAGAAUACAGUGAACAGCUGGUAUGUUGUUACUGUGCAAAAUUACAAUUAAGCUCAGGUUAAUGUCAUUUCCAACUAAUUACCCACAGUCAGUUGGAAGACACACUAAGAGAUUUCACUUUACCCACUCCAACAGUUUUCCCUACUUAGGUGUCUCUGCCAUUGACACAGAUACAAGACUCCUCACAUUUUUUUUUUUUUUGAAGUCACAGCUACACAAAGACACCUAUCUCGGUUCUGUCAAAGGGGUGCCCCUCUUGGCGGUAGACCGUAGGAGCUGCUAACAUUUCAACACCUCCCUUUGGUCACACUCUCUCUGCACGACACUUCCUUCACACCAAAGUAAUGUUCACAGUGUUUCCUCCACAAGCCUAAUUUCCUAUGUCCCAUUCUCAGUCUUUCUCCUCGGUCCCCCUUCCUCCCUGUCUGGGACCCUUCUUUGAAGGUCCUGUUUGAAAAGGACAGUAUUCAUCAUUUGACACUUACUACACAAAUCACUCUUACUACAGAGGCGCAUGGGAGCUUGCAGGAAAAGGAUUACAAAUAACACUUUUUAAGUCUGUCAGGUUUUUUUCUUUACAUGCAUUCAUCCUAACCAGCCACACCCCCACCCCCAAAAAGAAAGGAAACCCACCAGCACCACCAUGGCUAGAAUUCCUGUCAUUCCACUGUCUACCAUGGCUACUUGCCCUACUGGUGAGGGUCCCUCAGGCCACCGCCUUAAAAAAGGAAACUUGUAAAUAAACACAAUAGGACCACGUCUCACAGAGGCUCUGUGGCUUCCACAUCUGACACCAGACACACAGAACUACUUCAACGCCAUUUCCUCUCAAAGAGAGACAAGCUAAUUUGACCUUCCUGAAUCCAUGUCUGCUAAGAGUCAAAGGGGUCAACUCCAAAGCAAGAAUGAGUCUUCUAAACCACUUAAGUUCUUCUAUUACCCAUACACCCUGGGCACUGCCCCAACCUCAUGCCUCACCAAAAACAGCAUAACACCACCCCUCCUGCCUCACAGGUGCCUGGAAGCAGAGAUCAGAUAAUUUAUCUGUUACCUGCACCUCUAAGAAUGUUGGUGGUGGAGAGAAUUAAAAGGAGGGGAGAAGGAGUGGAACGGGUAAUAGUUUCUUUCCUACUAAUGGACAGAUAACUGCAGAGUGCCCUAACAGAUUUCAGUUUCUCUGUGCACACAGGAAUAUUUAUUUUAUCCGUGUGCUGUAACAAAACAAGCCUCUGGUGCACUUUUGGAAAGAUGGAAAGCCAUUCAGAACAGGAUGGCUGGAGUGUUGUCACCUGCUCGAUUGAGACUGGAGAUAACGGAGAUGAGGAGCGUGAGGCGGGGCAGGGAAGCGGGCAGUUGUCUGUCCAGAGCCCACAUGCCUGCCAGGAAAUACAGAUAUGCAGCCGCCAACGUUCUCUUCCUUCACCAGAGCACAGUUGCUCCAGGUCCCUUUACCAGAAGCAUCUCUUUCCAAAGAAAACAAACAAGCCUGCUGUUUAAUACAGCUAGGACUUCUCCCACUAAGACUCUAAUGAUUCUUCAGUGUCCAAAGAAAAAGGAAACAAAUAGGGGAGAAAAGCUCAGGGAAACCUCAUUACCUUGUGGCUUUAAAUGCUCCUGAUGGAAUGGAUCAGAGGAGAGAGAGGGCAGAACUUGGUUUAUUUUCCUUAAGCAAGAAGCUACCUUUUCUCAUGUACUGAGAUAAAGACAUCGGCAGACAUGUUUACUAGGCUACCCUGGCAGUAAUGACAAGACUCAUUUGUUUACCAAAGUCAUAAAUGCCAGGGCUGAUAAUCUGUCCUUACACAUGUUUCAAAACUAUCGUGAGAAUAUUUUCAGUGAAUUCCAUUUCAGAAAAGAUAGAUCUUUGAGCUUAAACUUGAUGUAUGUUGUGAACAUCCAUACACAGUCCCUGUCAGGAACUGAUUUAAGGCUAAAUCAAAAACACAGAUGAACAAUACCAACUCAACAUGCCCCCAAACCUCACAGAAACGAGAAUGAUUAAGCUGUCCCCAGUACAGGAAGGCAGAAUGCUUUUUACACUUCGAUCUCAUUGUACUGCUUUAGCCACCUUUACUCACACUCUGAAUUUCUUAGGAUCUGAGGGGAAGGGGUAGAAGAGAAAAGCUGAGGAAUGGAAUACAAAUCAGACAUUCUGUGCCAUGUUCUAUUUCCUCACCUGGGUCCUGGCUACUUGGGUGCUCACUCUGUGAGAAUUCACUGAACCGUACACCACACUCACUACAGGAUAUAUAUUCCGUUUCAUAAAAUGUACAGUUUUAAAACCAAGCACGCAUGAAUGUAUUUUCAGAAAGGGUUUGGUAACAUAAAAAUUAAUUAUUUUAAGCCACCACCAUUACUGCCACCCCAAGAAAUGACUCAAGAAUAUUUUAUUUUAUUUUAUUUUAUUUUAUUUUAUGGCCACACCCUUGGCAUAUAGAAGUUCCCAGGCCAGGGAUCAAAUCGGAGCUGUAGCUACUGGUCUCUACCACAGCCACAGCCAUAUCUGCAACCCACCUACACCACAGCUAAUGGCAACGUGGGAUCCUUCACCCACUGAGCAAGGCCAGGGAUCAAACCCAAGUCCUGAUGGAUACUAUGCGGGUUCAUUACCACUGCGCCCCCCCAUGGAAACUCCCAAGAAUAUUUGCUAAAAUAGUGAUUCCGAAAGUUAUGUACCAGGGGGCUUGGUAUAAACGAAUUCCUAGGAAGCCUGCAAAAAUACAAAUGUACCAGAGCCAUACAGCAGGGAUUAACUUUUAGGAGCUCAGGGAGAAGGCCCAAGAAUCUGUAAGUUUAACAAGCUACCCUGGGGGUGCAGAUGUGCAAAUGGGUUUGGAAACCAUCAUGAUACAAGGCAAGAAUAACUUGUAAAUUGCAACCAUCGGAAACCAUCCAAUCCAGAUUUUCUGAACCAACGUGGGUGACAAAGUGUAAUUAUUUGGAGAAGUUUUGCAGAAGCUUUGAUAACUGAAAGGGUGCUUGCUCUUACC